Molecule: long non-coding RNA, 323 nt
Organism: Lathyrus oleraceus (garden pea)
Lineage: Eukaryota; Viridiplantae; Streptophyta; Magnoliopsida; Fabales; Fabaceae
Exons: 2
Source: RefSeq, a predicted model, not a curated record
UCUCUUACAUUGUCCCUACAUUUUCAAAGCUCUAUUUGAUAUUAUUGAGUGUGUUAAUAACAUCAUGAAGCUAGGAAGCAUUCUCCUAUUUGUUGCUGCUUUGAUUGCUCUCUUAAACCUUAGCUAUGGAUGUGGUUUAAAGGUGCUCAGGCUCGUCGUUGUAGAUGUGACACUACUGUUAAUACACACACAUGCUCAUGUUGUAUAGUUUGUGGAUUAAAUGGGCAUCAGAAUAAUGACUCUUUUGUAAGUCAAGAUGAUUGCUUAUAAUUAAGAAAAAUUGAUAAAUAAUAACCUCACAUCUUAUUGUAUGAGGUUUUAUA